UUCUUCUACGUAUUUAACUUCUAUCUGCCUC
RNAcentral lists this non-coding RNA (31 nucleotides) under Mus musculus (house mouse). The record is from RNAcentral. Lineage: Eukaryota; Metazoa; Chordata; Mammalia; Rodentia; Muridae.